CCAGGUCUUGACAUCCCUUAGGACAACUCCAGAGAUGGAGCGUUCCCUUCGGGGACAAGGUGACAGGUGGUGCAUGGUUGUCGUCAGCUCGUGUCGUGAGAUGUUGGGUUAAGUCCCGNAACGAGCGCAACCCUUAUUACUAGUUGCCAGCAUUUAGUUGGGCACUCUAGUGAGACUGCCGGUGACAAACCGGAGGAAGGUGGGGAUGACGUCAAAUCAUCAUGCCCCUUAUGACCUGGGCUACACACGUGCUACAAUGGCGUAUACAACGAGUUGCCAACCCGCGAGGGUGAGCUAAUCUCUUAAAGUACGUCUCAGUUCGGAUUGUAGGCUGCAACUCGCCUACAUGAAGUCGGAAUCGCUAGUAAUCGCGGAUCAGCACGCCGCGGUGAAUACGUUCCCGGGUCUUGUACACACCGCCCGUCACACCAUGAGAGUUUGUAACACCCAAAGCCGGUGGGGUAACCUUUUAGGAGCCAGCCGUCUAAGGUGGGACAGAUGAUUAGGGUGAAGUCGUAACAAGGUAGGCGUAGCGAG
RNAcentral lists this ribosomal RNA (537 nucleotides) under uncultured bacterium. Its description in RNAcentral is "bacterial SSU rRNA". It matches the Rfam family "Bacterial small subunit ribosomal RNA", at positions 974 to 1509 of the family's 1533-position model. The record is from RNAcentral.